Odocoileus virginianus texanus is the source of this 2814-nucleotide long non-coding RNA. RefSeq lists it as uncharacterized. NCBI's taxonomy places the organism in Eukaryota, Metazoa, Chordata, Mammalia, Artiodactyla, Cervidae. The record is from RefSeq and is a predicted model, not a curated record.
UGAACCUGCAUCUCCUAUGUCUCCUGCAUUGAAGACAGACUUCGUGCAUGUGGUUGUACACACCGCUACCGGCAACUCCUGCGUCCCACAUCUCACAAUUUUGCUACGAGAAGAAAAGAAAGAAAAAAAAAAACCACUUGACUAAAAUUGCCCACCUCCUCGCCCCCAGCCUGAUACCCGUUGGAAAGUCCCAGGGAAAGCCGACGUGGACUCAGGUGGGGUGAGGGGCCCCGGGUGGGGGCGCAUCCUUUAUCAUCCAGUCCCCGCUGGAAGCAGAAGGCUGCAGUGAGAAAGAGUCUCCCCCAGGAAGACAGGGGGGUCCCCAGAAAUGAGGAGGGCUCGGAAGCAGUCAGAGCGAUACGUGCUCACACCAAAGCGAAGGGGGUCAUUGUUCUUCUUGCUUCACUCCCCGGCAAGGAGGACUCAAGGCUAACGGGGAAGCUCGUGGUCAAACCCACGUGUGGCCGACGUGGGGAACACAGUCCAGAACAGGUUGAAAGGCGUCUCUGCGUUGAAAGUGCUUGGCAAUAAAAGGUAAACCAAGUUAUUCUGGCGCCAGAACCUAAACUAUUCCAGUUUAUAGUCUUAACACAAGUACUACAGGACCAAGGAUCAAAACCAGUUUGUAUUUUGUUAGGAAACAGCACUAUUUCAGUUUCUUUGCUUUUUUCCCUCACAAAGUUUUAUUCAUCUCCUGUUAAAUCAUGCAUAUGAUUUACUUGGGGCUAUGACUGAAAUUUUUUCAAUUAGAAAAAUGUAAAUUACAGAUACAUUAUUUACAAUGCAUACAUGGUCAACUGUGUUUUAGAGAAUCACCUGAGGAAACAGUAGCAGGAUAAAACCACACAAAGAUAGGUUCUUUGACAUCACACUGGUUUAAAUGAUCCUCCUGUUCCUUUUGGGUCUCUUGGUAGAGCUUUUCCAUUCCUGAGCGCUUUUUCUCUGGUGACUCUUGUCUGCCGUGGGAACUGUUCUGAUGGGCAGUCGCCCGUUGCAUGGGGUUUAUCUGUGGCCCCAUGAUGGGGAACUUCCACCCCAUACUCACUUACUGGGUGUGUCAGCUGGACCCAGCUCCUCUGUGUUGGCGCCUGUGGGUACUGUUCAUCUGGGCCAUGUGUCUGUUUAUUCCCCACCACCUGUCCCAGGCUGUGUCCACCACAUCCUUGAAGACUGGAGAAAACGUCACACUCCAGGGCCUUUGUCCCUCUCGGCAGAGACUGGAUGGAGCACUUCCUGCCCAUGGUCGCAAUGGGAGAGCCAGAGGGCAGCGCUGAAAAUAAUAUUCCGGGGAAUCAGCCCCCCUCAUCGUGAAACCCCCUCCAGAGUGCCUUUGUGCAGAGGAGCUCCAGCAGCUAGGAAGCCCACACUGUGCCUUACGGAUGAGGCUGCGUUUGCCUGCUCACUCCAUGCCCGUGCGGAGGGGGGAGACGGCUGCUUUGUGACAGUUUCCACGCUUUAUCUCACCAUCCAUACGCUUCCUCCGCUUCCCUGCGCUUCCCGUGCGGACGUUUACAUACAUGCCUGACUGUCCCAAGAUCCUAAAGGAAGUAGGAGCACAUUACGACGGUCUAAAUCAGAGUCCAAGCGCAGGGCCAGGCUGUUACACAUUCAAUCACAUCCUAAAAACCAACCACAGGCCUUAAAAAAAGAAAGCUUCUCAAACCCCAAGAAUAACCUAAUUGCUUCUAUGUUGCACUGAGUUAUAUAACUACAUACUCUUCUCAUGCAAAGGCAAAACUAUGUUGGUCCCUGUUACUUAGACAUUAAAUUGCUUAGUUCCUUGGGGUCAUGGGGCAGUUAGGGAGUUUGGGAAGGUCAUGUACACACUACUAUGUUUAAAAUAGGUAACCAACAAGGACCUAUUGUACAGCAUAGGGAACUCUGCUCAAUGUUAUGUGGCAGGCUGGAUGGGAGGGGAGUUUGGAUACAAGGAUAUGGAUGACAGAGUCCCUUUGCAGUCCCCGGGACUAUGGCAAAUAAAAUAACAUCAUAAAUAAAAAGUUUGGAAAAAGUCAAACUGCUUAAUUCUUUCAGAAACAUUUCUGACCAAAAAAAAAAGAAUCCAACAAUAGAGCUAUCCGGAGGUUUGCAGGCAUUAGCAAUUCCGGUCGUUUGGUGAUUGAAUUAUUCCUGGUCUGUUAUUCUGCUUUGAAAUGCUGAUGCCUCCCCUUCUCCUCUCUCUCUCUCUGUUUCUCCCUCCUUUCCUCUCACUGCCAGAGGGAAAGGAAGGAGGGGGGAGCCCACCUCCCUCGCCGCCUGAGCUGAGUAAUUGGACAGAGACCCACUUCGGCGGCAGGAAAUGGAACCGAUCCAGGUGACCCAUGAAUAAUCCCUAGUAGACUGCAACUUUCAUUCUCGGGGUUUCCUGAUGGGAAUAUAACAAAGUUCUGGACUCUGGAGGACAAGAAAACAAGAAAAAGCCCUUUCUACUUAAAAAAAAAAAAGACUUCUUUAUUCACAACCUCACUGCCCAUGGAGUGAAAUUGAUCACUUUUGUAAAACAUUUCAUUUUCUGGCAGGGAAAUUCAAACCUGGCUGAGGGUUAUAGCCCUUUCUUUGUGUCCAAGGAUUUCCAUGUGCGAUUUCUCUUAACGGUAAUUCUCUUUCUAUCAAAAUUUGAGUGUAUCACACAACAUUCUCGAAAGCACAGGAUUCCUUUCUAUCUAGUGGCCGUAAGAGGAGUAACUCUGACACACGCCUUCUUUUAGAUGAUAACUAGCUCUUUGUGAACAAAAUAGCCAUGAUUCGGGAACAGCCUCGCCCCUCCCAGGCCUGUCGCCUGGGGGAGAGACUCCGAGGUGAUGGAGAGGUAAA